AAACCAUGAUGAUGACAUUCUAAAAGGAGAUCUUUGAAUCUUUCCAUACACCUAGAGAAUGAUUCAUUGGGUCUCUGAUGAAACUGGAGUAUAUCGUUCCUGAGCUU
Cephalotus follicularis is the source of this 107-nucleotide small nucleolar RNA. It matches the Rfam family "Plant small nucleolar RNA R71". From Rfam's summary of the family: R71 is a member of the C/D box family of snoRNAs containing the C (UGAUGA) and D (CUGA) box motifs. Multiple nearly identical copies of this snoRNA have been identified in Arabidopsis, and it is thought to function as a 2'-O-ribose methylation guide for 18S ribosomal RNA. The record is from Rfam. NCBI's taxonomy places the organism in Eukaryota, Viridiplantae, Streptophyta, Magnoliopsida, Oxalidales, Cephalotaceae.